Molecule: ribosomal RNA, 240 nt
Filed under: Paenibacillus polymyxa
Lineage: Bacteria; Bacillati; Bacillota; Bacilli; Caryophanales; Paenibacillaceae
Description: partial 23S ribosomal RNA
Rfam family: Bacterial large subunit ribosomal RNA
Source: RNAcentral
AGAGGCAGACCAGGGGAACUGAAACAUCUAAGUACCCUGAGGAAGAGAAAACAAUAGUGAUUCCGUCAGUAGCGGCGAGCGAACGCGGAUUAGCCCAAACCAAGGAGCUUGCUCCUUGGGGUUGUGGGACGUCUCACAUGGAGUUACAAAGGAACCGGUUAGAUGAAGAGGUCUGGAAAGGCCCGCCAGAGAAGGUAAAAGCCCUGUAGUUCAAAACCCGUUCCCUCCGAGACGGAUCCC